This 285-nucleotide long non-coding RNA is filed under the name Panax ginseng (ginseng). RNAcentral describes it as "long non-coding RNA (PGIN_LNC010212)". The record is from RNAcentral. Lineage: Eukaryota; Viridiplantae; Streptophyta; Magnoliopsida; Apiales; Araliaceae.
CAGAAGCAGUGUUUGAUUUUGAAGUAAAAGUUGAUUCAUACUGUUGAGAGAGUCGAGUUUGGAAGCCAUGUUGAUGGUAGUUUCAAAAAGUUCAUUAUCAAGAGGUUUAAAGAUAAUGAGGGGUUGUGGUGGCAGAUUUAGGUGAGCAAUAAUAUUGCUAGUAGGAACAUGCUGAGAUUGAUGAGUGGUCAGAGGAAGAUCUAAAUAAUUGAAUAUUUUGGUGAGAAGGAGACCGAAACCAAGAUAAUUGUUCUGAAAAUAGAAUUCAAAUGAAGACAUCAGAAA